Molecule: unclassified non-coding RNA, 197 nt
Filed under: plant metagenome
Description: partial contains small subunit ribosomal RNA, internal transcribed spacer 1, and 5.8S ribosomal RNA
Source: RNAcentral
UCUCCGUUGGUGAACCAGCGGAGGGAUCAUUACCGAGUGCAAACUCAUAACCCUUUGUGAACCUAUAUCUGUUGCUUCGGCGGCUCGCUCUCGGGCGAUCCCGCCGGUAAUAUCAGUAUCUCUGUUUGAACCCGACGAUACUUCUGAGUGUUCUUAGCGAACAGUUAAAACUUUUAACAACGGAUCUCUUGGCUCUA